CCUACGGGGGGCAGCAGUGAGGAAUAUUGGUCAAUGGACGCAAGUCUGAACCAGCCAUGCCGCGUGCAGGAAGACGGCUCUAUGAGUUGUAAACUGCUUUUGUACGAGGGUAAACGCAGAUACGCGUAUCUGUCUGAAAGUAUCGUACGAAUAAGGAUCGGCUAACUCCGUGCCAGCAGCCGCGGUAAUACGGAGGAUUCAAGCGUUAUCCGGAUUUAUUGGGUUUAAAGGGUGCGUAGGCGGUCGGAUAAGUUAGAGGUGAAAUCCCGAGGCUCAACUUCGGAAUUGCCUCUGAUACUGUUCGGCUAGAGAGUAGUUGCGGUAGGCGGAAUGUAUGGUGUAGCGGUGAAAUGCUUAGAGAUCAUACAGAACACCGAUUGCGAAGGCAGCUUACCAAGCUACUUCUGACGUUGAGGCACGAAAGCGUGGGGAGCGAACAGGAUUAGAUACCCUAGUAGUC
This 460-nucleotide ribosomal RNA is filed under the name uncultured bacterium. RNAcentral's name for it is "partial 16S ribosomal RNA". It matches the Rfam family "Bacterial small subunit ribosomal RNA", at positions 338 to 795 of the family's 1533-position model. The record is from RNAcentral.